UAGAGCCCCACAGGAGGGAUCUCUGCUCUGGGGAGGCAAAUACACUACGGAUCUUCUCACUUCAUUUUCCUGGGAAUAUUCUGUUGGUGCGGCAGGGGGAGGGGAGAGAGAAUGUUGUCACCACACCAUGGGAUGGCCAGUGGUUCUGUCUCCAAUCUCCACUGACUCUAGAGGCUCCAUUGGAAGCCCUUCUCUCCUUCACUCUGGUUCAAUCCCUCACUCUGUACCUCAUUUGCCCUCCCCCUGCGUUUUUAUUCUUCCUUUUCAAGAUCUUUUUAUAUUCUCAGAGUUUCUUCUGCCUGCCUCGAUCUUUUCAACUCCUGCUUCCCAAAAGUUCUUCUAGUGGAGGAGCAGCCUGAGGGCAAUGAAACUGGUCUCCUCUCUGUAACGAUGCUACUUACCCACUCCUCACAUCUCAACUUCUGCAGGUUUAGAGGUCAGAGUUCUCCCCGUGACAUUCCUCUCUUUACAAGUGAUCUUUGCAGCAGCAGCCAGACAGGAGGAGGGAAGAACUCUUGGAACUGAAAAGUUCAACAUGGAUUGUGACUGUGCAAUUGGAGACAGAAUAUCUGACGAGAAGGUGGGUUACUGACUGAACUACAGGGAAAAGUCAGUGAGAAGAAAUUAAUCAGAAGCAAGGUGAAGUGUGUGGACUUGAUUCUGCCAGGAACUGAGCAGCAGUCAAUUACUUGCUUAGAUGCUUUGCUGGAUCAGGGUCAAAGUAUUGAGCACCUUGCAGAAGUUCAGGGCCAGAGUGUUUAGCACCUUGCCCUAACAGAAGAACAUUGUGAGGAAAGUGAUGGUGACAUGAAGAAAACAUCUCUAAUAAUAUAAUUGGAAGUACUACAAAUAUUUGGCACCCUUCAUAAAUGGAUCUCAAAGCAUUUACCAACUUUAAUUAGUUUACACUUUAUAUAUUAUGUAGCUCAAUAUGGCAAAAUGUGAUAGCAAGGUAUAUCUUGGGGUUUGAUAAUAGCUGGAUCUUCUUUAUGGGCCAAAUAUAACAGUUCUAACUCAGUCAAGUCAGUAGGAGCAGUGGGUGCUUAACACCUCUAAAAAUCAGGUCACUUCUUUUUUAGGAGCUUAACUAUGCAUGUAGGUGCCUAACUUUAGGAAUUCUAGAGUGGGAUUCUCAAAAGUGCCUAAGGAAAUUGAGUUGCAAUAGGAAUUUGAAAAUCCCAUCCUUAUGUUUGAAAUCCUAGCCAAUUAUAACAGUUUUUAUCCAGAAAGAUGAUGAUAUACCAUAAUUCUGUUACUCAAGUAAGGUUUUAAAUUAUUCAUUAUUUAUUCAGUCUGUAUUUCUGUUGAGAGGUAGGUCGACUGAAAUCAUCUGUACACAAAACAUAUGUUCAUAAAACACAGCCUCAUUUUCUACUCUGAGGUUGGUUUUUUUUUUUUUUAAGUUCAGUAUGUGUGGAUCCAUGCCUGAAUCCUAUUCCAUUUCAGGUUGCUUUCAAACAUGGCCAAAGAAAGGAAAGGAGAAAAUGAAUUGAUAUUGCAAGGUGAAAUAAAAUGUAUAAUGAAAGAAAUUAAACAAUGUUUGUGCAUCAAGUCUGGCAGAAUUCUUCCUAGGAAUGUAUCUUAUCAGUGAUCAGACUGAGCAAUGAUCUGUUUCAUUUUACUUUACCCAAUUUGUCAGUGGCAGAAGAAAACAAACAACCAGCAAUCCUGAUAAUUGUAAAAAGCUGGUGUAGUCAGUCAGUGCAAAUGAAUUCUAAUAAGCCUGUCCUAACAUCCCUGUAGCCUGAAAUCUCCUCCUCCUUAUCAUUUAAAACCUUAUCACAAUGAUUUUUUGGCUUGCUCCAUAUUAUCCAAUGUAAUUUGCAAAAAAUAUACAUUCGUAAGUUCCCUGAGAACAUAGAGCACUGGGUUUAGUUUUGGCUUUUGUAGAACCCUGGAAGCUGGUGAAUUAUGUAAAUUAUUAAUUUAAUUUUUGUGUUUUGCUGCCAUGAAUUAGCAUAUCACCAUAUAUUUUCUAAAUAAGAAGUUCACGUGUGUCUUCACAAAACUUUAAAACAGGGGUAGGCAACCUUUCAGAAGUGAUGUGCCGAGUCUUCAUUUAUUCAUUUUAAUUUAAGGUUUC
Long non-coding RNA from Chrysemys picta bellii (western painted turtle), 2083 nucleotides. RefSeq lists it as uncharacterized. The record is from RefSeq and is a predicted model, not a curated record. Lineage: Eukaryota; Metazoa; Chordata; Testudines; Emydidae.